UACGUAUGGAGCAAGCGUUAUCCGGAUUUACUGGGUGUAAAGGGAGCGCAGGCGGUCUGGCAAGUCUGAUGUGAAAGGCCGGGGCUCGACCCCGGGACUGCAUUGGAAACUGUCAGACUGGAGUGUCGGAGAGGUAAGCGGAAUUCCUAGUGUAGCGGUGAAAUGCGUAGAUAUUAGGAGGAACACCAGUGGCGAAGGCGGCUUACUGGACGAUGACUGACGCUGAGGCUCGAAAGCGUGGGGAGCAAACAGG
This 253-nucleotide ribosomal RNA is filed under the name uncultured bacterium. RNAcentral describes it as "partial 16S ribosomal RNA". It matches the Rfam family "Bacterial small subunit ribosomal RNA", at positions 524 to 776 of the family's 1533-position model. The record is from RNAcentral.